CUCAGGACGAACGCUGGCGGCGUGCUUAACACAUGCAAGUCGAACGGAGAUUAUUAAUGAAAGCUUGCGAUUAAUAAUCUAGUGGCGGACGGGUGAGUAACGCGUGGGCAACCUACCCAUAAGAGGGGGAUAACAGUUGGAAACGACUGCUAAUACCGCAUAAGCUAUUAAGGUCGCAUGACCUUAAUAGUAAAGGUGGCGAAAGCUAUCACUUAUGGAUGGGCCCGCGUCUGAUUAGCUAGUUGGUGGGGUAGUGGCCUACCAAGGCGACGAUCAGUAGCCGGCCUGAGAGGGUGGACGGCCACACUGGGACUGAGAUACGGCCCAGACUCCUACGGGAGGCAGCAGUGGGGAAUAUUGGGCAAUGGGCGAAAAACGCCUGACCCAGCAACGCCGCGUGAAGGAAGAAGGUCUUCGGAUUGUAAACUUCUUUAUGAGGGACGAAGGACGUGACGGUACCUCAUGAAUAAGCCACGGCUAACUACGUGCCAGCCGCGGC
RNAcentral lists this ribosomal RNA (499 nucleotides) under uncultured bacterium. Its description in RNAcentral is "bacterial SSU rRNA". It matches the Rfam family "Bacterial small subunit ribosomal RNA", at positions 23 to 518 of the family's 1533-position model. The record is from RNAcentral.